RNAcentral lists this transfer RNA (68 nucleotides) under Polistes sp. MD1. RNAcentral's name for it is "tRNA-Thr". The record is from RNAcentral. Lineage: Eukaryota; Metazoa; Arthropoda; Insecta; Hymenoptera; Vespidae.
AGCUUUAUAGUUUAAAUAAAAACAUAAAUUUUGUAAAUUUAAAUUAAAAUCAAUAAAUUUUAAAGCUU